AUGCACGCUGGCGGCGUGCCUAAUACAUGCAAGUCGAGCGAACAGAUAAGGAGCUUGCUCCUUUGACGUUAGCGGCGGACGGGUGAGUAACACGUGGGUAACCUACCUAUAAGACUGGGAUAACUUCGGGAAACCGGAGCUAAUACCGGAUAACAUUUGGAACCGCAUGGUUCUAAAGUGAAAGAUGGUUUUGCUAUCACUUAUAGAUGGACCCGCGCCGUAUUAGCUAGUUGGUAAGGUAACGGCUUACCAAGGCGACGAUACGUAGCCGACCUGAGAGGGUGAUCGGCCACACUGGAACUGAGACACGGUCCAGACUCCUACGGGAGGCAGCAGUAGGGAAUCUUCCGCAAUGGGCGAAAGCCUGACGGAGCAACGCCGCGUGAGUGAUGAAGGGUUUCGGCUCGUAAAACUCUGUUAUUAGGGAAGAACAAAUGUGUAAGUAACUGUGCACGUCUUGACGGUACCUAAUCAGAAAGCCACGGCUAACUACGUG
Molecule: ribosomal RNA, 496 nt
Filed under: uncultured bacterium
Lineage: Bacteria
Description: partial 16S ribosomal RNA
Rfam family: Bacterial small subunit ribosomal RNA
Source: RNAcentral